CCUACGGGAGGCAGCAGUGAGGAAUAUUGGUCAAUGGGCGCGAGCCUGAACCAGCCAAGUCGCGUGAGGGAAGACGGUCCUAUGGAUUGUAAACCUCUUUUGUCAGGGAACAAAGGCGGGGACUAGUCCCCGGAUGAGGGUACCUGAAGAAAAAGCAUCGGCUAACUCCGUGCCAGCAGCCGCGGUAAUACGGAGGAUCCGAGCGUUAUCCGGAUUUAUUGGGUUUAAAGGGAGCGUAGGUGGAUUGUUAAGUCAGUUGUGAAAGUUUGCGGCUCAACCGUAAAAUUGCAGUUGAAACUGGCAGUCUUGAGUACAGUAGAGGUGGGCGGAAUUCGUGGUGUAGCGGUGAAAUGCUUAGAUAUCACGAAGAACUCCGAUUGCGAAGGCAGCUCACUGGACUGCAACUGACACUGAGGCUCGAAAGUGUGGGUAUCAAACAGGAUUAGAUACCCGUGUAGUC
Molecule: ribosomal RNA, 460 nt
Filed under: uncultured bacterium
Lineage: Bacteria
Description: partial 16S ribosomal RNA
Rfam family: Bacterial small subunit ribosomal RNA
Source: RNAcentral